RNAcentral lists this ribosomal RNA (265 nucleotides) under uncultured bacterium. RNAcentral describes it as "partial 16S ribosomal RNA". It matches the Rfam family "Bacterial small subunit ribosomal RNA", at positions 331 to 591 of the family's 1533-position model. The record is from RNAcentral.
UGGAGCCUCGGGGGGCAGCAGUGGGGAAUUUUGGACAAUGGGCGCGAGCCUGAUCCAGCUAUUCCGCGUGUGGGAUGAAGGCCCUCGGGUUGUAAACCACUUUUGUAGAGAACGAAAAGACACCUUCGAAUAAAGGGUAUUGCUGACGGUACUCUAAGAAUAAGCACCGGCUAACUACGUGCCAGCAGCCGCGGUAAUACGUAGGGUGCGAGCGUUAAUCGGAAUUACUGGGUGUAAAGGGUGCGCAGGCGGUUGAGUAAGACAG